RNAcentral lists this long non-coding RNA (235 nucleotides) under Ananas comosus (pineapple). RNAcentral describes it as "long non-coding RNA (ACOM_LNC006994)". Lineage: Eukaryota; Viridiplantae; Streptophyta; Magnoliopsida; Poales; Bromeliaceae. The record is from RNAcentral.
AACACCGGUGGGUGGCCAACCUCAAUAUCAGGGGGCACAGUAUCAAGCGUUUUAUAGACCGGCUGUCGGUAAUGCCGGUCAACAGCCAGAAAUGGCUUGGGGUUUGCCACCACCCCCUCCAAUUGCAGCCUACCAGCCUCAAAAUGUAGAGGCUAGGGGGCAUCUCCCGAAUGCACAAGGGGUUAAUCCCCUAGGGCAAAAUAUUGGGAUUCAACAACCAUUGAAUCCAGUACCA